This 460-nucleotide ribosomal RNA is filed under the name uncultured bacterium. RNAcentral's name for it is "partial 16S ribosomal RNA". It matches the Rfam family "Bacterial small subunit ribosomal RNA", at positions 338 to 795 of the family's 1533-position model. The record is from RNAcentral.
CCUACGGGAGGCAGCAGUGAGGAAUAUUGGUCAAUGGACGAGAGUCUGAACCAGCCAAGUAGCGUGAAGGAUGACUGUCCCAUGGGUUGUAAACUUCUUUUAUAUGGGAAUAAAACGUUCCUCGUGUGCGUUUUUGUAUGUACCUUAUGAAUAAGCAUCGGCUAACUCCGUGCCAGCAGCCGCGGUAAUACGGAGGAUCCGAGCGUUAUCCGGAUUUAUUGGGUUUAAAGGGUGCGUAGGCGGAUUGUUAAGUCAGUUGUGAAAGUUUGCGGCUCAACCGUAAAAUUGCAGUUGAAACUGGCAGUCUUGAGUAGAGUAGAGGUGGGCGGAAUGCGUGGUGUAGCGGUGAAAUGCUUAGAUAUCGCGAAGAACUCCGAUUGCGAAGGCAGUUCACUGGACUGCAACUGACACUGAGGCUCGAAAGUGUGGGUAUCGAACAGGAUUAGAUACCCCGGUAGUC